UUGAAAGGGAAACGAUUGAAGUCAGUCGUACCGACGAGAAAUCAGCCUAUCGUGUGUAAACUUGUGGGCGUGCGUGAGUUUCGGCCUCGCUGUUUGCAUGUUUGUGCUCUUUGGGUGUACCUUUUCGUAUGGUAGGCCAACAUCAGUUUCGAUUACUAUAAAAUGACUGGCGGAAUGUAGCUUCGAUUUCGGUUGAAGUGUUAUAGCCUCUGGUAGAUGUGGUUAUUGGGACCGAGGACUGCAACGAAUAUCCUUUGGGCUAUCCGUCUGGCCUCUGAAAGUUGCUUGGGUGCUGAAAGCUUGCUUAUGGUUAUCUAAGUUAACGGUCAAUAGGUUAGAACGUGAUUACAUUCGUUAAGGAUGUUGACGUA
Molecule: ribosomal RNA, 371 nt
Filed under: uncultured Glomeromycotina
Lineage: Eukaryota; Fungi; Glomeromycota
Description: eukaryotic LSU rRNA
Source: RNAcentral